ACUCCUACGGGAGGCAGCAGUGGGGAAUAUUGGACAAUGGGCGAAAGCCUGAUCCAGCAAUGCCGCGUGAGUGAUGAAGGCCUUCGGGUUGUAAAGCUCUGUCGGGAGGGACGAAAAAGCGGAUUAACAAACCGCAUUGACGGUACCUUCAAAGGAAGCACCGGCUAACUCUGUGCCAGCAGCCGCGGUAAUACAGAGGGUGCAAGCGUUGUUCGGAAUUACUGGGCGUAAAGCGCGUGUAGGUGGCGAUGUAAGUCGGGUGUGAAAUCCCUCAGCUUAACUGAGGAAGUGCACUCGAUACUGUGUCGCUUGAGUGUUGGAGGGGAUGGCGGAAUUCCCGGUGUAGAGGUGAAAUUCGUAGAUAUCGGGAGGAACACCUGUGGCGAAGGCGGCCAUCUGGACAACUACUGACACUGAGACGCGAAAGCGUGGGUAGCAAACAGGAUUAGAUACCCUGGUAG
This 461-nucleotide ribosomal RNA is filed under the name uncultured Byssovorax sp. RNAcentral describes it as "bacterial SSU rRNA". It matches the Rfam family "Bacterial small subunit ribosomal RNA", at positions 335 to 793 of the family's 1533-position model. The record is from RNAcentral. Lineage: Bacteria; Pseudomonadati; Myxococcota; Polyangiales; Polyangiaceae.